This 576-nucleotide ribosomal RNA is filed under the name uncultured Glomus. RNAcentral's name for it is "eukaryotic LSU rRNA". It matches the Rfam family "Eukaryotic large subunit ribosomal RNA", at positions 204 to 633 of the family's 3401-position model. The record is from RNAcentral. Lineage: Eukaryota; Fungi; Glomeromycota; Glomeromycetes; Glomerales; Glomeraceae.
CAUGGAGGGUGAGAAUCCCGUUCGGUUGACCUUAUGACGCUCUACGAUACGCUCUCUAAGAGUCGAGUUGUUUGGGAUUGCAGCUCAAAAUGGGAGGUAAAUUUCUCCUAAGGCUAAAUAUCGGCGAGAGACCGAUAGCGAACAAGUACCGUGAGGGAAAGAUGAAAAGAACUUUGAAAAGAGAGUAAAAUAGUACGUGAAAUUGUUGAAAAGGAAACGAUUGAAGUCAGUCGUACCGACGAGAAAUCAACUUAUCGUGUGCGAACUUGUAGGCGUGCGUGAGUUUCGGCCUCGCUGUUUGCAUGUUUGUGCGUUUUGGGUGUACUUUUUCGUAUGGUAGGCCAACGUCAGUUUCGAUUAUCAUAAAAUGACCGGCGGAAUGUAGCUUCGAUUUCGGUUGAAGUGUUAUAGCCUCUGGUAGAUGUGGUGAUUGAGACUGAGGAUUGCAACGAAUACCCUUUGGGCUAUCCGUCUGGCCUCUGAAAGUUGCUCAGGUGCCGAAAGCGUGCUUACGGUCAUCUAAGAUAACGUUCAACAGGUUAGAACGUGAUUACAUUCGUUAAGGAUGUUGACGUA